UACAGAGGUCUCAACCGUUGUUCGGAUUCAUUGGGCGUAAAGGGUGCGUAGGCGGUCGGGUAAGUCGGAUGUGAAAUCCCAGGGCUCAACCCUGGAACUGCAUUCGAUACUGCCUGGCUAGGGUACUGGAGAGGAGACUGGAAUUUACGGUGUAGCAGUGAAAUGCGUAGAUAUCGUAAGGAAGACCAGUGGCGAAGGCGAGUCUCUGGACAGUUCCUGACGCUGAGGCACGAAGGCCAGGGGAGCAAACGGG
Molecule: ribosomal RNA, 253 nt
Filed under: uncultured bacterium
Lineage: Bacteria
Description: partial 16S ribosomal RNA
Rfam family: Bacterial small subunit ribosomal RNA
Source: RNAcentral